UUUUAUUCACUUUGUAUUUAAGUACUACAAUUUUUUAUAUAAAGGUAAAACUGUAAAAUAAUUCACUUCUCAUUCAAGACAAAGCAAACAACUAAAUGCAAUAUUGAUUUCUAUUCCACACUCUCAUUCUAGUGUAAGUAAACAACCUUCUUCCACUCUCACUCCAUACUCAUAAUCUCAAGAUUUCCACUUUUCAUGAUUCCAAUCCAUUCCAAAAUGUAAAUGCUACCUAAUAAAUUUAUGAAUUGAAUGGUAAAAUGCAGAAAUGAUAUUUUUGAAAAUUUUGAGUAUAAAAUGUUAGAUUUCAAAGCGUGUGUCCAGAGAUGGCCAAUAGGUCAGACGGCAUGUGGCACGACACGUGUCCGUACAACAUGGCACGAUACGAGCACAUUUAUGUGGGCAGAUGGUACGGCAAAGCUUACAUGUGCACGAUACAAGCACAUUUAGGCAAACGAGUUUUACAAGUACGACACGAUUAGAAAUGGGAUAAAGCACGACACAUGAAAAGGUACGCAAUAAGCAUAUUUCACUUUUUAUUGAAAGUAAACUUAAAAUUUAUAACUUUACAAAUAACUUGAAAUUGAAUCUUUUAAUAUUUUUUUAUUAGCACAUGUUUUUUAAUUUCGUUUAAUGCUUA
RNAcentral lists this long non-coding RNA (637 nucleotides) under Citrus x clementina. RNAcentral describes it as "Citrus clementina (C. clementina) long non-coding RNA (CCLE_LNC005611)". Lineage: Eukaryota; Viridiplantae; Streptophyta; Magnoliopsida; Sapindales; Rutaceae. The record is from RNAcentral.